GGGGGCGACCCGGUUUCGACGGGGGUGAACGAAGCGAGGGCUGCAGGCGGAGGGUCUCUGUCACCUCCUUAAUCCGACGGGGAACUAUCAAACGCGAACUCCACAGAGUACGCACUAGCUGCCUAGUGCAGCUAGCGUCCUACCAGCUCUCCCGUCUGUGACGGUUGGCUAGGGCGUCAUCGGACAGGCUAGCCAAGGGCUCCUACGGUCGGGCCGGCGGCGAAACAACAGGCCGUAUGGCCUCGAGGCAGCCAGCCGGCAGGCGGCCUCGAGGUGACGAAAACCGCCGGCUAAGCUUGUAGACGUCUUCGUAUUCGCACCUUCGGACGCGGGUUCGACUCCCGCCGCCUCCACAU
RNAcentral lists this transfer-messenger RNA (356 nucleotides) under Pseudomonadota bacterium. RNAcentral's name for it is "Proteobacteria bacterium (activated sludge metagenome) transfer-messenger RNA". It matches the Rfam family "transfer-messenger RNA". From Rfam's summary of the family: Bacterial tmRNA, also known as 10Sa RNA or SsrA, is named for its dual tRNA and mRNA-like properties. Its role is to liberate the mRNA from a stalled ribosome. To accomplish this part of the tmRNA is used as a reading frame that ends in a translation stop signal. RNAcentral also lists the same sequence under 1 other name. The record is from RNAcentral. Lineage: Bacteria; Pseudomonadati; Pseudomonadota.